This 109-nucleotide ribosomal RNA is filed under the name Cellulosimicrobium sp. CUA-896. RNAcentral describes it as "partial 16S ribosomal RNA". It matches the Rfam family "Bacterial small subunit ribosomal RNA", at positions 1 to 107 of the family's 1533-position model. Lineage: Bacteria; Bacillati; Actinomycetota; Actinomycetes; Micrococcales; Promicromonosporaceae. The record is from RNAcentral.
UUUUACGGAGAGUUUGAUCCUGGCUCAGGACGAACGCUGGCGGCGUGCUUAACACAUGCAAGUCGAACGAUGAAGCCCAGCUUGCUGGGUGGAUUAGUGGCGAACGGGU